GAUGAACGCUGGCGGCGUGCUUAACACAUGCAAGUCGAACGAGAAGUGAAGACGGAACCCUUCGGGCGGAAGGCUUUAUUUCGAGUGGCGGACGGGUGAGUAACGCGUGGGUAACCUGCCUCAUACAGGGGGAUAACAGUUGGAAACGACUGUUAAUACCGCAUAAGACCACAGCACCGCAUGGUGCGGGGGUAAAAACUCCGGUGGUAUGAGAUGGACCCGCGUUCGAUUAGCCAGUUGGCGGGGUAACGGCCCACCAAAGCGACGAUCGAUAGCCGAUCUGAGAGGAUGACCGGCCACAUUGGGACUGAGACACGGCCCAAACUCCUACGGGAGGCAGCAGUGGGGAAUAUUGCACAAUGGGGGAAACCCUGAUGCAGCGACGCCGCGUGAGUGAUGAAGUAUUUCGGUAUGUAAAGCUCUAUCAGCAGGGAAGAAAAUGACGGUACCUGAGUAAGAAGCCCCGGCUAACUACGUG
This 478-nucleotide ribosomal RNA is filed under the name uncultured bacterium. Its description in RNAcentral is "partial 16S ribosomal RNA". It matches the Rfam family "Bacterial small subunit ribosomal RNA", at positions 28 to 507 of the family's 1533-position model. The record is from RNAcentral.